Molecule: long non-coding RNA, 269 nt
Organism: Calliphora vicina (urban bluebottle blowfly)
Lineage: Eukaryota; Metazoa; Arthropoda; Insecta; Diptera; Calliphoridae
Exons: 2
Source: RefSeq, a predicted model, not a curated record
CCCAACUCACUUUGUCAUUAGAUAUCAGUAAAUCCUGAAACUUCAACAAAAAUGAAAGUAUUUGCAAUAAUAUUUCUUGUGGCUUCGGUAAUUGCUGCCGUCUACUGCGAACCAGGCGAUAACGCAAUAAAUGGAGGCGGUAAUCGUGGUAAUAAGCAGACGAAUUUUGACGUAAAGACAAGUAUAUUGUAAUAAGUGUUAGAUGUUGAUUACAACUCUAAAAGACAUCUCUCAUAUACCCAAUAAAAACUGAAUAAAUAUAAAACAAA